GUGCAUUCCAGUGCCUGACUACCCUUUCUGAGAAGUAAUACUUCCUAAUGUUCAGACUGAAUCUCCCCUGGCGCAGCUUAAAACCAUUCCCUCUAGUUCUGUUAUUGAUUACACGAGAAAAUUAGGCAGUAUUUAAACUGGUUGCUUUUUGUUAGUUAGUUAGUUUGUUUGUUUGUUUUUUGUUAUUUUUUGAGAAUGAUUGCUAUGUCAUGAUUUAUAGCGGGCAGGAGGGGCUGUCCCAUUGUCACAAUAGGAAAAGCAAACUACAGUGUUCAGGAUAUACAUUGUGCUGCUGAGCUUCCAGAGCAGAACAUAAAAUACUGCCUAAACCUCACAGUUCAUCCUGGGCCAGAGGCAUUCUACUGAUGCUGUCUGGAAGUAUAGUUAAAUCCUCAUAAGAUCCAUGUGAUAACAUGAAGCAAUGUGUUUUGGUCUAAGGAGGGGGGAAAGAAAGAGUAAACACAUUAGUCUAUAGCUUAUUAAAGUAACAAACUCUGUGAAAUAAUAAAUAUAUAUAUUUCUCUCCAGCAGUUGCCAGGGGAUUGAAGGAAUAGUUCUGGACCACACAUAGUGUGUGAAAGAUUAUACAAAAUGAGGUUAAUUAUUUAACGACAAACUUAUUGCUGUUCCAAGAAACAGUACAAAGUAAGUUCUUUCUGUCAUUUCAAUUCUUGGCCUCAUCAGGGAAUCACAUUAAUUGCCCUAACACUUCAAAUUCCUCAUGCAGUUAUGCAAAACUUAGAUCUGUUAAUCAUGUACUUUACAGUGCAGUCAUGUGUCCUAGUCCCUCCGUGCAAUGCAUUUACAGUGGAUGAAACCUGUAGAAAUGUAUAAAUUAACUUCAGUAUUUUUGGCCUAAUUUGCCUCUGCCAUUGCUCUCAAUGGAAUUGUGAUAAGCCAUUUUGAAGACUACAUGUUAAAAGAAUCAAGAGCUUUUAAGUUUUUAUUUAUCCCAAAGUAAGCAAAGUAUUGGCUUGUGACAUUUGUGAUUUAAGAUUUUCCCAGAUAAAUGCUAUUUAUAAAACUGACUUUUAACACCUAUAAUGGAGUUUAUUAUGGAAAACUGAUGAUUGAGUAUACCACAAAGGCAUCUCGUGUGCUUCCAUUUUCUUUUAAGACUGAAUGAUAAAAGGGUAAUUUGAACACAUUAUCUAUCACAUAUUUUCUGAUUUUAUAAGCUGUUGAACUGCCACCAGAUACAAUAUCUCAGGAAAUACAUGGCUGAGAGUUCUAAUAUGUUUGGAGCAAAGCCUACUGCAUUGCUUUGUUAGCUAUUUACUGAAAACUUUUCCAAAAAUAAAAGGAUUUAACACAACGGAUUUUGCCUUGCU
Molecule: long non-coding RNA, 1331 nt
Filed under: Coturnix japonica (Japanese quail)
Lineage: Eukaryota; Metazoa; Chordata; Aves; Galliformes; Phasianidae
Description: lncRNA (ENSCJPG00005010571.1)
Source: RNAcentral